Molecule: ribosomal RNA, 549 nt
Filed under: Scutellonema cavenessi
Lineage: Eukaryota; Metazoa; Nematoda; Chromadorea; Rhabditida; Hoplolaimidae
Description: eukaryotic LSU rRNA
Rfam family: Eukaryotic large subunit ribosomal RNA
Source: RNAcentral
CGGACAGAGCCGGCGUAUCUGGCCUGUAUUCAGCCACGGGCUUGCUGUCGUCAUGUGUACCCGUCUCCAGACUGGAACGGUGCGCUGUCUGGCGGCAGGUUUGUGGUGCAUUUGCAGGUGGAGUGCGCUGAGGCGUUCGGUGCAGCGGUAUGAGCUCGGCUCAGAGGCCAGCCCAGCAAUGGGUCUGGAACCGGGGCCGUGGGAGUGCUGUUUGCGCUGGAUGUACGCUGUGGGCGAUGGUUUCGGGCUUGGGUGGGCGCCGAGCUGGGGGUCGGCGGCGGUCGCGUGCGACACGUGCCAGCACUCAGUUCGGUCCUGCUCGAGCUCACAAGCGCCUGUCCUCGGUGUAAAAGCCGGUCAUCUGUCCGACCCGUCUUGAAACACGGACCAAGGAGUUUAGCGUGUGCGCGAGUCAAUGGGCGUUGAAAACCCAGAGGCGCAAUGAAAGUGAAGGCAUCCCUUGUGGAGCUGAUGUGUGAUCCUGGCCACCACGGUGUGCCGGGCGCAACAUGGUCCCGUUCUGAUCGCUUGCGAUGGGGCGGAGACAGA